UACGUAGGGACCAAGCGUUGUUCGGAUUUACUGGGCGUAAAGGGCGCGUAGGCGGCAAUUCAAGUCAUCUGUGAAAUCUCUGGGCUUAACCCAGAACGGCCAGGUGAUACUGCUUUGCUAGAGUGCGGAGGGGGCAAUCGGAAUUCUUGGUGUAGCGGUGAAAUGCGUAGAUAUCAAGAGGAACACCUGAGGUGAAGACGGGUUGCUGGGCCGACACUGACGCUGACAGCGCGAAAGCCAGGGGAGCGAACAGG
RNAcentral lists this ribosomal RNA (254 nucleotides) under uncultured bacterium. Its description in RNAcentral is "partial 16S ribosomal RNA". It matches the Rfam family "Bacterial small subunit ribosomal RNA", at positions 524 to 776 of the family's 1533-position model. The record is from RNAcentral.